GAUGAACGCUGGCGGCGUGCUUAACACAUGCAAGUCGAACGAAGCACUUUAUUUGAUUUCCUUCGGGACUGAUUAUUUUGUGACUGAGUGGCGGACGGGUGAGUAACGCGUGGGUAACCUGCCUUGUACAGGGGGAUAACAGUUGGAAACGGCUGCUAAUACCGCAUAAGCGCACAGCAUCUCAUGAUGCAGUGUGAAAAACUCCGGUGGUAUAAGAUGGACCCGCGUUGGAUUAGCUAGUUGGUGAGGUAACGGCCCACCAAGGCGACGAUCCAUAGCCGACCUGAGAGGGUGACCGGCCACAUUGGGACUGAGACACGGCCCAAACUCCUACGGGAGGCAGCAGUGGGGAAUAUUGCACAAUGGGCGAAAGCCUGAUGCAGCGACGCCGCGUGAGCGAAGAAGUAUUUCGGUAUGUAGAGCUCUAUCAGCAGGGAAGAUAAUGACGGUACCUGACCAAGAAGCACCGGCUAAAUACGUG
Molecule: ribosomal RNA, 481 nt
Filed under: uncultured bacterium
Lineage: Bacteria
Description: partial 16S ribosomal RNA
Rfam family: Bacterial small subunit ribosomal RNA
Source: RNAcentral